Homo sapiens (human) is the source of this 8069-nucleotide non-coding RNA. The record is from RefSeq and is a predicted model, not a curated record. NCBI's taxonomy places the organism in Eukaryota, Metazoa, Chordata, Mammalia, Primates, Hominidae.
CAAAGCUAUAGAACUUCCCACCAGAUGAAAGCUUUAUCUCUUUUUCUUUCUUAGGAGAAGAGAGACAGAAGGAGAGAAGAGGGGCAGGAGGAGAGAAAACACAAGAAAGAGGAUGGAAGAUAAAGAGGAAGGCCAGAGUGAGGCAGGAGAAAGCUGAGCUGGAACCUAACUCCUGUUGAUCUGCUGCAGAGACCCUCUCAUUCCACAAUUGCUCCCGCCAUGCCAAGGAGACAAGCUCAACAUACAAAGAACAAGGAGAGAACAAUGGAAGAUGGCCUAUAAUUCAGAAGCACAUUGGGUGGAGCAUAUUGCACAUGUAGAAGCUUGUCACGGAACCCAAGAAAGCUGGAGGAACCUGGGAAGGCUUCCUGGAAGAAGGGAAAGCUGAGUUCUCUUAUCACCACUCCACCAUUUGUUCAUGUCCUCAUGUACAUAUUCAACAAACAUUUAUUGAGGGCUGAGUGUGGCUUUGUGUAUCCCAGAUAAACUAGUAUCCUGAUCUUAGCCAUGGAUCUCAGCUGCUACUAUCUCAUUCCCCACCAUGGGCAAUAAGAUGCAUACUGGUAGGGAAAAUUCUGGCAAAUUUUGUAAAGUUUAUCCAUAGGCAUAAACACUUUACCCUGUGUUAUGCUCAGAAGAGGAACACACAUUUAUUAAGCACCUACCACAUCUGCAAAUAACUUUACUCCCAAAAACUGAUUUGAUACUUAAGCAGCUUUUGUAAGGUGUGUUUCAUUCCCUAAAACUAAAGUUCAGAGAGGUUAAAAGAUUUAUCCAAGGUCACACAUUCAAGGUGGAGCCAAGAUGCACAACUAAGUCUAUUACUGUUUUUUUCAUACUCCCCCACUUCUCUGUCUCCCUCUUUCUAUUCUCAGCUGCAGACUCUGCCAGCUGCAAACUUCUUUAGUAGUUAUUCCUGAUUACUUCUGCUCCUGGUGAGCUCAUCACCUGAUUAAAGGGCUCCUAGCUUCACCAGACCUUGGAGAUGACAAACAGAUGACCCUGGAGAGGCAGGCUCUCUAGGGCUGUUCCAUUUUGGUCUGGCCCCCAUUCCAGCCGGGGAUAUAGUUCAAACCCUGACUCUGAGUUGAGCCCAAGAAAAUAAGACCAAGAUGAAAGCUUAAGUGCAUCCCCUGAAAGGCUCUUAUCUCCAGGCUAAGCUUGGAAGUGGGGAGACAGAGCACCACAACCCAACUUGGGGAUGUUGUCUCUUGUAGAAACACCUUCCUCAGUAACAGAAGGGUAGCUGCCCCUAUGUCCUAGAGAGCGGGAGUAAGAGAAAGUGGCUCCUUGCCUCUGAGAUUUGCUUAGCUGAUCCUCCCUCACCCCAACCAUAGCUCUUAACAAACCCAGGUACGCAUAAAUAUAAAUACCACCCUAUGUGUAUUUCCUGUGCCCUCCCUUUUCUCUUUCCUGAGGAGUUAUGGAGAGAAAAUAAAUGCCAGAAUUACAGAAAACUAGGUAUAAAUCUACUCACUAGCUUUAUGGCCUUGCAUCUAUUUCCCAUAUAAGCUGGCAGGGUUGGGAUUCUGUCUAGCUCUUUCCAUUUAUCAUGAUGUCCUCUUUUUGGUUCUUUUAGAUUUUGCAUCGGGUUGAUGUAGUGGAUGCUGUAGUCCACUACCCAGAUUCCUUCCCCAACCCACAACAAUGAGGUUCUCAUUCCGGAGCUGCUAGGAGGGAUGCCAGAUAAUAGCACACAGCUGAACUUCUCUUCAGCUAUUGCCCUCAGAUUAAGAAAGCUGCCUUGCUCAAGGUUACACGCCUUUCCUGGGAAACCAGUAUCCAAUGACUGGUUCCUGUAAAAGGAAUGGAGCUGCCUUAAAAGAGCUGCCUUGCUUCAAUUUGGGAAGACUAUGAAGAGCCAUCCCAGCUCUGGAGUUCUCCGUAGGGUUGGGUAAGGACUUGGCGUGACUGUGUUGCAGCCCAACUUCCCCCCCUGCCUGAUCCGGCUUCUCUUACUUUCCUGAAGGUGUUGAUUCUGGCAGUACUUCUGGAAAACCUCCUGUAUGCAGAUUUCCAGGUCCUAAUCUGCUUCCUGGGAACCAGGUCUGCCACAGAUGAUAUUUCAAUUAAUGUUCAUGAUGAGGGAGACAAUUCUUCCUUCUUGUCAAUCCUUUCCCAUGUCUUUCUCCACAGUAUUCCUUUCAUCCAAUUUAACAUCCCUUUAAGGAUUUACCCCUUUCAGGUAGGCUUCCUUCAUGUACUCCUUCCAGGUUCUGGUCACUCUAAUCAUGACUGCCACUCUAAUAGAUGGUAUAUAAGCCUUUUAUUCUUGUCAUUAUGUAUUUUCUCACAUCCUUCCAUUAUCCUGGAAGCUCAUUAUGACUAGGCGAUUUCAAAUUUAAUUUUAAAAUAUUUCCUCUCAGUCAUAUACAGUGAUGGUUGGAGGCACUUAAUCCUGUUGGAAGAACAUGUUUGACAAAUCCCUUGUCAGUGCUUCACCUUCUUCUCACUCAUUUAAUUCAUCCAGCACACACUUACUGGCUGUCCUGUCUGAGCUAAGCAUUGCCUAUGCUAUGGGACACACAAAGAAAUAAUGUUUCCUUCCUACUGUUCAGGGAGUUGUAGUUGAGCAGGAAAGGCUUGUGGUAAAGUGGCUGACCCUGAGGCCAGACUGCCAAGGUUCAAACUUCUCUCUCCCAAUUUCUAGCUCAGUGGCCUGGGACAAGUUAUUUAAGCUCUUUGUGCCUGUUUCCUCACAAGUAAAAUGAGAAUUAUAACAGUAGCCACCUCAUUGGAUUAUUGUGAAGACUAAAGGAGUUAACAUGUAAGGAGUCUGUACCACUGUCUGGUACACAGUAAGCAUUAUUUAAGUCUGCCUUGCCCAAUAUGGUAGACACUAGCCACAUUUGGCUAUUAAGCACUCUAAAUGUAGUUGUGUACCGUUAAGUAUAAAAUAUUAAUAUAUAUGCAGUUUCAAAGACUUAGUAUGAAACAAGGUAGAAUAUUCCAUUAAUUUUUGUAUUGAUUACAUGUUGAAUUAUUUUUGAUAUAUUGGGCUAAUUAUUAAUUUUCCACUUUAAUUCAUGUGGUUGCUAUACAAAUUAAAAUUAUAUAUGUGGCUUGUAUAUUUCUAUUGGACAGUACUGACCUAAGUCUUUGCUAUAAAAAUAAUAACAGGCCGGGAGCAGUUGCUUAUGCUUAUAACCCCAGCACUUUGGGAGGCCAAGGUAGGCAGAUUGCUUGAGCCCACAAGUUCAAAACCAGCUUGGGCAACAUAGCAAAACCCUGUCUCUAAAAAAAUGCAAAAAAUUAGCUGGGUGUGGUGGUGCGCACCUGUCGUCCCAGUUACUCAGGUGGCUGAGGUGGGAGGAUCGCUUGAGCCCAGGAGGCUGCGGUGAACUGUGAUCACGCUACUGCACUUCAGCUUGGAUGACAGAGCAAGAUCCUGUCUCAAAAAAAAAAAAAUAAUGAAAAGCAGAACAUAAGAAAUACCAUCAUAAAGGUAUAUGUACUGCCAGAAAAACUAUUCUAAGAGUGAACAACCAGCAUCGGUAUCACCUGGGAAUUUGUUGGAACUACAGACUGUUGGGUCCCUGUUCCAGAUGGACUGAAUUAGAAACACUGGGGAAAGGCUCAGCAAGCUAUGUGUCCAGGUGAUUCGGAUCUGACCAAAGUGUAAGAGGUACUUCCCUAAGGGAGUACAGAGGGAUCACUAACCAAUUCAGUUAGAGGAGAAGACCAAGUUGUUCAUCACAAUAGUAUUGGAGAAAAGGCAGGGCAGGGAAGGCCACACAGAAAUGGUCCACGCAUGUAGUAAGUUUGACAUAAAAGUAGUUAGGUGGCCUACAGCACAUCUCCAUCCCAUUCUGCUUGGCUCCUUUAGAUGCUGCUUUUUCUGGAAACAACACCCUCUGGCCCGGCUGGGUCCCCUGCCCUCUGCACCUUUUUAAUCUAAAGAGAGCCAAGAACAAAUUGGAUCUAAACUGUGUGCCCUCAAUGAAAAUAAUUUGCAUUUGUAAAGCGUGACCUCAAAAGGUGUGUUUAUUAUUUCCUGUAUUGUGCUAGCACCAGCAGGAUGUGGGGCAGAUGGACAACCCAGGUUCAGAGAGAGUGCAAGAGAGAAGCAGCAAGAGCUCAGGAGCCAGCUUGUGACAAGCGGAUCAGCCUCUAAAUAGAGCUGCUUCCUGAGAGCACCAUAAGCUAGGGGAGGAUUAGAGGUGGCUGCAGAGCUCCUUUCCUAUUAGGAAAAGAUUCUACACUAACUCCAUGAUUUUGCACUUCGUAUUUAUAGCCUUUAUUUUAUUUUGGGCUCCUACCAAAUGAAUGCGUUACAGCUGAUAAAGCCCAAAAUUUGCCCUUGGUCUUCAGUAGGGUCAUAGAGAGGGACAUGAGUCCAAAGAAGCCCCUGCACCAUGGUGUGGGUAUGACACAUUGUGAAUUAAAGGAUUUGGUAGCUCUGGCCACAUUUGUUUCCCUGGGGGAGUAGGAGUGGAGGGCUGGAAAGAAGGGGCUCCAUGGGACAUCAUCACUGUGGAGGAGGCUGCAGGUUCAGAACAAACUCAUCUUUCUACAAAAGCCUUUUUCACCCCACCCACAACCAGUUUCCUUUUUAUUUUCAGCUUGUGUAUUUGCAGGCAUCUUUGCUCAUAACAAUGAUAUCAUCUUCAUGCACAGCGAAUUAUGUUGCGGAACUUUUGGGCCUGCAGCAAAGUUUCUGUUACAGCAUUUCCUGGAAGUAUCCUUGGGUCUGUGACCCUCAUCUCCCCACAGCAGGAAGGGCAAGCAUCACAUCAUCAGUAUUGAAAGGUGCAUCAGGUUUACUGGCAAUAGCACUAAUAAUGCUAAUUAUAGAAGUGAUAGUGAGGUGGGGGGGUGGUGAUAGGAAUGGUCAAAUACAUAUCAUUUAUUUGGUCCUACUUUUUCCAGGUGUUAAGCAGUUUUCUACUAUGCCAGGUUAUAUUUUCCAAACAUGACUGUACCAAAAUAUCUCAUCCCAUAGGUUCUUACAAUGUGAUGUUGCUAUUUACUGAGAAGUGGUGUCUGCAUUCCCUCCUCUUUCAUAUGGCCAGGUUUUUGAGACUAUGCAGAAGUUAUUCCAUGAGUUCCAAGCCCAGGUCAUGAAAGAUAACUUGUAAUAAAUCUGGCUACCCUGAAGCUGCCAUGCUUGAGAGACCACACGAGAUGGAGAGAGAUGCUUAGGAGUCCCAGCUGUCCAAGCCUCCAGCUAUGUGAAUCUUCCCAGCAGCAACUGCCAGACAUGUGGUACACCCAAAAUGACUUUGGGGCUACACUUGGAAUUGGCAAGGUUCCAGAAAACAGAGGGACUAUCAUCAGAGACAGCGCACAAAAAGUGGGAGAAAGGUCACCAGCCUCACUCAUGUUUAGGGCUAUUAUGAAUAAAGCUGCUAUGAACACUUGUUUACAAGUUCUUUGUGAGGACACAUGUUUUCAUUUAUCUUGGGAAAAUACCUAGAGAUGGAACUCUGGGACACAUGGUAAUAAAGUAUAUUGGCAUAAUGCAAGAGUCAAGAUGCAGAAAAUAACUACUGUGUGAUGUCUCUCUCCCAGCUUUAACCCGCCUGAAGGGCAGCACUGAGUUCAACACACUGUCCCACAAUUGUUGCACUCUCACACUGAAGUGAACAGAUUCUUUCUCCGUGCCGUGCAGCUCCCGGCAGAGGAUGAGGGAAGGGUACCAUCGGUGAUUCAGCACUGUGUUUCCUAUCCUCUUCAAUGACUCUUUCAGCGAUAUGAAGGUAAAACCAGGUACUGUGAGUGCUCAUCUUAUUUUUGGUUCUUUUGAAGGUGUUUUUUGGUGUAGAUAGUUAUUAAAUUUGGUGUUCCCGCAUGGGGGAACAAUUGAUAGAGCCUUCUAUUUGAUCAUUUUGCUCUGCUCAUUCUAUAUACCACAUUUUCUUUAUCAAAUCUUAUUUAAUUUUGAUUCCAUAAUUUACUAAAGACUAAAUGUGAUAUGCUAAGUUUUUCACAACAAUUAUAUUUUAUCCCACUUUUUUGUCUUCAAAUAGCUUUUGCUUUUGUAUUUCUGUGCUAUGUUAUAGUACAUUACACAUUCAUUGUGGAUUGCAACUUUUAUAAAACAAUCCUCUAUCCAAAGCAUUUUCCUCUGGAGUUUUAUUUUAACCAAUAUUAAUAGUGCCACUACUACCUUGUUCUGACUUUUGCUUUUUUUGAUUUAAAAAUAUAUUUGUUUUAUUUUUGUCUGAUUUUUCUCUAUCUUUAUUUGUAAAUCUUUUGUGUCAUUUGAGUUAGGUGAAUGGAGCACAUGGCUAUGCUUUGUUUUAAAUGAAAGUCUUUGUCAUCCAGCGGAGGACUUUAAUUCAUUUACAUUUAUUGACAUAAAUGUUGGUAGGUCUUAUUUCUCUCAUCUUGCUUUACAAUUUCUAUUUUACUGCUUGUAUUGCUUUUAUUUUGAUGCUUCCUUAUUUCUUCAUCUUUAAAGUAUAUGUACUGCUAUUUUCCUACCAUAAUUACAUUUCUCUAAUUACAAAUAUGAAACUCUGAAUCUCUUCCUUACCAAUCCUAUGUAAAAUAAGAAAUUUAUCAAGCUGGUGGGCUUGAUAAAGGGCUUACCCAUUCCUGUUUCUAAACAAACAAUUAUGCUUAUUUAAACAAUCUGUUCCAAACAACUACCAGCAAAAAUGUGAACUGUUCUUCAUUAGUCUACUAAUUGAAUUUUCUAACUAUCCUGAUGCCAGGAACACCAUGUAUCAGUUAUGCCUAAAAUGUCAUUUAAAAAUAAAAUUGCUUGAGGACAAAUCAGAAAUUAGCAUCUUUAACUAUUUAACUAUUUAAUUACUUUAAGGGCUCCUGGUCAUAGUUUCCACAUUCUACUUCCUUCUCUGUUACAGACUUGAAAGCGUGUGUCAGAUCCCUUCACUAUAUCUUCAGACCUGCCCCAAGGAGUGAGGAAGGGCAACACCAAGAACUUCUCUCCAAGGACCAUAACCUGCGAACCCCAUCUCACCUCCUCCUGCCAGAUGGACACAGUCAUUGUCCUCCUGGCUGAUCCCAUGUCCAUGUCUUGCUCUGGCUACUUUCAUACACCCAUAAUGACAUUUUCCAUCUACUCAAUUUUUUAAAAGCUCAGCUCGAACCUCACGGAUUUUCCUGACAAUCUGCUUCUCUCAAUGGCCUUAAUUUAAGUGAGGGUUGUCAGUCUUACUGGGUCUCGUUUUUUGUCUUAAAUAAUAACUAUUUAUGGGUAUCAAGUGUCUCCUCAAUUUGGCUAUGAUCCUUCACGGCAGAAAUACUGUCUUAUCUUGUGAUCAUGGAGUCACAAGAUUUCAUGGCUAGGAAUAUUCGUCAAAUUAAUCCUAGAUUGAGGAUCAGGUAGUAUGUGGUCUGAUUCUAACUCAACAACUUGCAGAAACUCACUUCUUUUUUCUUUUUUUUUCCCCAGGAGGAGCUAUCGUAUUAACUGACGAAACUCACUUCAUUUCUUUGGACCUGCAAAAUGAGGAUGGGCUCUAAACCACCUCUAAAGUUAAUAUUCUAUGAUUCCAUGAUAAGGCUAUUUGUCAUUUAUAAAAAAAGGAACUUCCACAUAGCCCAGAGAAAGGAAAUGACUUUUUCAAGUUUACAGAGUCAAUUAAUGGACGAAAUGUAAUUUGAAAUUCAAUCUCCUGAUCCCCAGUCUAUUGGGAGUUCUUUCAGAAUGUCCCUUGACUGUCCCUCAAAGUGCCAGCAUGUAUGAAACCUUGUUAAGGAUGUAUGCUCAAUGAAAAUACACAAAUUGACUUAACAAGAAACUAAACUCUCCAGAAAGAUGCAGUUGACCCAAAACUCUGAAUAUCUUUUAUGUUUAAAACUUUCUUUUUUGAACAAAAUUGUACAGUUACUUCUCUAUUUCAACUCUUAAGCCUUUUAUGCCACGUCAAAGGUUAGCUCUCUUUUCUCUCUGUUAAUAAAGUCUUAUUCUUGACUUUGGAACUGUAUGCCAAGCUAAGGGGUCCUUUAUUGUUUAUUUAUUUUUUGAUUCUCUACUUUUGAUUCACACAUCUUUUCUACAAGAAAGACAAUUUAUAGCAGGGGCAUAUUACUUUCUUUGGGCCUCUGUGUCCUUAUCUAUAGCCAAAAGGUAUGGAAAUAAAUGUUUUCUAAAGGUC